RNAcentral lists this ribosomal RNA (253 nucleotides) under uncultured bacterium. Its description in RNAcentral is "partial 16S ribosomal RNA". It matches the Rfam family "Bacterial small subunit ribosomal RNA", at positions 524 to 776 of the family's 1533-position model. The record is from RNAcentral.
UACGUAGGGGGCAAGCGUUGUCCGGAUUUAUUGGGCGUAAAGAGCGUGUAGGCGGCCAGGUAGGUCCGCUGUGAAAACUCGAGGCUCAACCUCGAGAUGUCGGCGGAAACCAUCUGGCUAGAGUCCGGAAGAGGAGAGUGGAAUUCCUGGUGUAGUGGUGAAAUGCGUAGAUAUCGGGAGGAACACCAGUGGCGAAGGCGACUUUCUGGCCUGUUCUUGACGCUGAGGCGCGAAAGCUAGGGGAGCAAACGGG